RNAcentral lists this ribosomal RNA (465 nucleotides) under uncultured Klebsiella sp. RNAcentral describes it as "bacterial SSU rRNA". It matches the Rfam family "Bacterial small subunit ribosomal RNA", at positions 338 to 795 of the family's 1533-position model. Lineage: Bacteria; Pseudomonadati; Pseudomonadota; Gammaproteobacteria; Enterobacterales; Enterobacteriaceae. The record is from RNAcentral.
CCUACGGGUGGCAGCAGUGGGGAAUAUUGCACAAUGGGCGCAAGCCUGAUGCAGCCAUGCCGCGUGUGUGAAGAAGGCCUUCGGGUUGUAAAGCACUUUCAGCGGGGAGGAAGGCGUUAAGGUUAAUAACCUUGGCGAUUGACGUUACCCGCAGAAGAAGCACCGGCUAACUCCGUGCCAGCAGCCGCGGUAAUUCGGAGGUUGCAAGCGUUAAUCGGAAUUACUGGGCGUAAAGCGCACGCAGGCGGUCUGUCAAGUCGGAUGUGAAAUCCCCGGGCUCAACCUGGGAACUGCAUUCGAAACUGGCAGGCUAGAGUCUUGUAGAGGGGGGUAGAAUUCCAGGUGUAGCGGUGAAAUGCGUAGAGAUCUGGAGGAAUACCGGUGGCGAAGGCGGCCCCCUGGACAAAGACUGACGCUCAGGUGCGAAAGCGUGGGGAGCAAACAGGAUUAGAUACCCGGGUAGUC